This 439-nucleotide ribosomal RNA is filed under the name uncultured cyanobacterium. RNAcentral's name for it is "bacterial SSU rRNA". It matches the Rfam family "Bacterial small subunit ribosomal RNA", at positions 28 to 507 of the family's 1533-position model. The record is from RNAcentral. Lineage: Bacteria; Bacillati; Cyanobacteriota.
GAUGAACGCUGGCGAGAUGCUUUACACAUGCAAGUCGUACGAGAGUUUCAAACUCAAGUGGCGGACGGGUGAGUAACACGUAAGAAUUUGCCUUUAGGAGGGGGAUAACAGAGGGAAACAGCUGCUAAUACCCCAUAUGCUUUCGAGUGAAAUGGAUUUUUCCGCCUAGAGAGAAGCUUGCGGCUGAUUAGCUUGUUGGUUAGGUAAUGGCUUACCAAGGCGACGAUCAGUAUCUGGUUUGAGAGGACGAUCAGACACACUGGAACUGAGACACGGUCCAGACUCCUACGGGAGGCAGCAGUGGGGAAUUUUCCGCAAUGGGCGAAAGCCUGACGGAGCAAUCUCGCGUGAGGGAUGACUGCCUAUGGGUUGUAAACCUCUUUUUUCAGGGAGGAAUCAAUGACGUGUACCUGAAGAAUAAGCAUCGGCUAACUCCGUG